RNAcentral lists this ribosomal RNA (254 nucleotides) under uncultured bacterium. RNAcentral describes it as "partial 16S ribosomal RNA". It matches the Rfam family "Bacterial small subunit ribosomal RNA", at positions 524 to 776 of the family's 1533-position model. The record is from RNAcentral.
UACGUAGGGGGCGAGCGUUAUCCGGAUUCACUGGGCGUAAAGGGCGCGUAGGCGGUUACGAAAGUCCGAUGUGAAAAGUCACGGCUCAACUGUGAUCGUGCAUCGGAUACUUCGUUGACUUGAGGUCGGUAGAGGCAAGUGGAACUAGCGGUGUAGCGGUGAAAUGCGCAGAUAUCGCUAGGAACGCCGGUGGCGAAGGCGACUUGCUGGGCCGUACCUGACGCUGAUGCGCGAAAGCUAGGGGAGCGAACCGG